This 253-nucleotide ribosomal RNA is filed under the name uncultured bacterium. Its description in RNAcentral is "partial 16S ribosomal RNA". It matches the Rfam family "Bacterial small subunit ribosomal RNA", at positions 524 to 776 of the family's 1533-position model. The record is from RNAcentral.
UACGUAGGGGGCAAGCGUUGUCCGGAAUUAUUGGGCGUAAAGGGCUCGUAGGCGGUUUGUCGCGUCUGCUGUGAAAGCUCGGGGCUUAACUCCGGGCCUGCAGUGGGUACGGGCAGACUAGAGUGCGGUAGGGGAGACUGGAAUUCCUGGUGUAGCGGUGAAAUGCGCAGAUAUCAGGAGGAACACCGGUGGCGAAGGCGGGUCUCUGGGCCGUAACUGACGCUGAGGAGCGAAAGCGUGGGGAGCGAACAGG